RNAcentral lists this ribosomal RNA (253 nucleotides) under uncultured bacterium. Its description in RNAcentral is "partial 16S ribosomal RNA". It matches the Rfam family "Bacterial small subunit ribosomal RNA", at positions 524 to 776 of the family's 1533-position model. The record is from RNAcentral.
UACGGAGGGAGCUUGCGUUGUUCGGAAUUACUGGGCGUAAAGCGCGCGUAGGCGGCUUUGUAAGUUAGAGGUGAAAGCCCGGGGCUCAACCCCGGAACUGCCCUUAAGACUGCAUCGCUUGAAUCCGGGAGAGGUGAGUGGAAUUCCGAGUGUAGAGGUGAAAUUCGUAGAUAUUCGGAAGAACGCCAGUGGCGAAGGCGGCUCACUGGACCGGCAUUGACGCUGAGGUGCGAAAGCGUGGGGAGCAAACAGG